RNAcentral lists this unclassified non-coding RNA (292 nucleotides) under uncultured fungus. Its description in RNAcentral is "partial contains small subunit ribosomal RNA, internal transcribed spacer 1, and 5.8S ribosomal RNA". The stretch from base 1 to 73 matches the Rfam family "Eukaryotic small subunit ribosomal RNA", at positions 1759 to 1831 of the family's 1831-position model. Lineage: Eukaryota; Fungi. The record is from RNAcentral.
GCAAACUUGGUCAUUUAGAGGAAGUAAAAGUCGUAACAAGGUUUCCGUAGGUGAACCUGCGGAAGGAUCAUUAGAGAGAACUAAGCUCAUUAUGAGCGACUCUCCACCCCAUGUUUACAUGACCCUGUUGCUUUGGCGGACCGUAGGACGUGAGUCCUCCACUGGCUUCUGCUGGUGUGUGUCCGUCAGAGGAAAUCCACACUCUGUUCAUUAGUGUUGUCUGAGUAAUAAACAAUCAUAUAAAACUUUCAACAACGGAUCUCUUGGUUCUGGCAUCGAUGAAGAACGCAGC